This 394-nucleotide ribosomal RNA is filed under the name uncultured bacterium. Its description in RNAcentral is "bacterial SSU rRNA". It matches the Rfam family "Bacterial small subunit ribosomal RNA", at positions 28 to 416 of the family's 1533-position model. The record is from RNAcentral.
GACGAACGCUGGCGGCGUGCCUAACACAUGCAAGUCAACGAGAAAGGGGUAGCAAUAUCCUGAGUAAAGUGGCGCACGGGUGAGUAACACGUAGGUAAUCUGCCAUCAGGGACGGGGACAACCACGCGAAAGCGUGGCUAAUACCCGAUGAAUCGACGAUGCCGCAUGGCAUUGUUAUUAAAUACCGCAAGGUGCCUGGUGAUGAACCUGCGUCCCAUUAGGUAGUUGGUGAGGUAACGGCUCACCAAGCCGACGAUGGGUAGCUGGUCUGAGAGGAUGAUCAGCCACACUGGAACUGAGACACGGUCCAGACUCCUACGGGAGGCAGCAGUGAGGAAUAUUGCGCAAUGGGACGAAAGCCUGACGCAGCGACGCCGCGUGAGGGAUGACGGCC